Esox lucius (northern pike) is the source of this 3349-nucleotide long non-coding RNA. The record is from Ensembl. NCBI's taxonomy places the organism in Eukaryota, Metazoa, Chordata, Actinopteri, Esociformes, Esocidae.
GAAAGACAGGGACAGCACAAAACACAACAGAAGACGUAACACCACAGUCCUCUCUCUGCCAAUAGAUGAUACCACAGUCCUCUCUGUGUCAAUAGUUGUUACUGCAAACAUACAAGCUGAAACAAUAUUGAACAAAGAGAGAGGCAACAGGGAAUCUAUAUAGAUGUGGUGAGACAAUAGGGAACAGGUGUGCGUAAUAGAACAAGACAGUACAGGGAAGUGUUAAAAUGCAGCAGGGAAACUAGACGAUGACUGCUAGAAAGCUGUCGAAGCAGAACGAUAUGACUGUGAUGUGAACUGGGAUACGUGGUCAUAAGCGGAUCUGUGACACAUACUUUGCAUUUAACACACCUGUACUUUCACUUUUGUUUCGGUUCAACUCCCGUGUGAUUGGCUGUCUUCUACAUAAAGGAGAAACGGCACUCACAUAAGCUACAUUUUAUCUUUCGAACCGAACAUUUAUGUUUACUACCAAUUUGGAACCUAUUUUAUCCUUUGUUCACAGGUACCCACACUAAAUUAACAUUUAAACCAUGGAAUUUCUGGAGUCAACAAAGACGGACCUGUGCCAGUGGUUAUCAACAGAUGCUCAGUAUAUCAUUGACAAGUGUCAAGAUAUUUUAUCUGUUAAACAAGGAAAGGCUGUGUGCAACCAAGACACUGAUGAAAAGAAGAUCAGCAUGCUGUUGAAAUUUAUCAUGGAAAGGGGAGAGGAAACAUGUGAGGAGUUCCUUGAGAUUCUGAAGAAUGAGCAGAAGCAUUACCCGAGCCUUCAACAGCAUUUCAGCAACAGCAUGCACGGUCCAACAGUAUAUGCGGAUUGCAACAGCAUCGUUGACACCCGACAAGUCACCAACGUCCAUGUUAAAAAAGACUUAAACAUGGAUGCAACUGUUCAAGCAGGAGAGAUGAAUCCAUCUGGAUUCAACCACAGCCAACCACCCCCACGUGCAAAUAUGUUUGCAACCAAUAACAGUAAUAUAAUUUCACCAGGAAUAUCAAACUGUAAAGUUUAUGGAGACUUCAAUAUGUCUUUAGGACAGGCCCCACCCUCAAAUGGCCCAACAUUCCAGGUAUGCCACUGCCUCUACCCGUGGGGGAGUCUGGGGAGGAGCUUCUGCCUCCAACCGCGGAAGGUUUCGGAGGAGUUUCUGCCUCUGCCCGCGGAGGGGUUCAGCGAUGUCACCGGUGCCGUGCCGGCUGUUUCGUUACGUUCUUAUGUUAUAUUCAUUUUAGUUCUAAUUUGUCUGUUUCUAUGUUCUGUUUGGUUUCCCCUGUGCCUCGCCUAACCCUGCGGAGGGGUACGGCGAGGAGCUUCUGCCUCUGCCCGCGGAGGGGUUCUGCGAGGAGUGUCUGUCUCGGCCCUCUGAGGUGUUUGGCGAGGAGCUUCUGCCUCCGCCCAUGGAGGUGUCCGGGGAGGAGCUUCUCAUCAGGAAUAUCAAACUGUAAAGUUGAUGGCGACGUCAAUAUGUCUUUGAGGCAGGCCCCACUUGUCCAGGUAAGCUUCUGCCUCUGUCUUGGCCCGCGAAGGUGUCCGGCGAGGAGCCCACGGAGGGGUUCAGCGAGGAUCUUCUGCCUCCACCUGCGGAGGUGUCCCGCGAGGAGUCCACGGAGGGGUUCAGCGAGGAUCUUCUGCCUCCACCUGCAGAGGUGUCCGGCGAGGAGUGCAUGGAGGUGUUCAGCGAGGAGCUUCUGCCUCCGCCUGCAGAGGUGUCCGGCGAGGAGCCCACGGAGGGGUUCAGCGAGGAUCUUCUGCCUCCGCCUGCGGAGGUGUCCGGCGAGGAGCCCAUGGAGGUGUUCAGCGAGGAGCUUCUGCCUCCGCCAGCAGAGGUGUCCGGCGAGGAGCCCACGGAGGGGUUCAGCGAGGAUCUUCUGCCUCCGCCUGCGGAGGUGUCCAGCGAGGAGCCCACAGAGGGGUUCAGCGAGGAUCUUCUGCCUCCAUCUGUGGAGGGGUUCGGCCAGGAGCUUCUGCCUCCGCCUGCAGAGGUGUCCGAGGAGGAUCUAGAUUUAGCGACUUUUCAGACCCCCUUAGCAACUUUUUGUGGUGUUAUUGGAGACUUGUUCUUACUCUUCUCAGCGAGCAGCGGGUGCCGCCGUGGGCCCCUCCCCUAUCUGAAAGCACUCACAGGUGGCCCAGUCCUCGCACAGCUGUUCCUCUGAGCUGCAGUCAGAGCAGGAGAUGUUAACUCCUCCGCGUCCAGACUGAAAAUGAAUCGCGCAUGCGGGAAGCCCCCGCUGGCUUUUCCUGGCCGUAAUGUAAAAUUUAAAUGUUCUUUGUCUAAAAUAAAUCAUUGCUGAUGGGAAAUUAUGCAAAUUAGGCAAUGACGUCAUUUUGCGACUUCUAGCGACUUUUAGGACAGCCAAUAGCGACUUGCCUUACUGAGGAUUUGGCAACAAUGUGCGGAGGGGUUCGGCGAGGAGCUUCUGCCUCCGCUUGCGGAGGGUUCCCGUGGAAUGCACAAUGGAAUGCAAGAUAGCCUUAUCAUAAAAGCUGAAGGCACAGACGUGUCAAUCAUGCUUUUGAAUUUUAAAUAAACAUUAUUGUAACAGAAUGUCAUUUUUUCUUCUAAGGUAGUAUUUCUUCAUGUAAUAUUUAAUAAAAGAUGAAUAACUGAAUUACUGCUUAUUUAAAAAACCCAACCACUUAUUAGAAUAAACUUAUUCUGUAGGGCCUUGUGAUGGAAGCUAUUGUUGGGAGUAAAUUGGAACUUAUUGACUUGGGUUAAAGCAAGCAAGCAUGUUUUAUUUAUAUAGCACAAACCAGGACCUUCAGCAUGCACUGGGACGGUUUGCAGCCGAGUGUGAAGCGGUGGGGAUGAGAAUCAGUACCUCCAAAUCCGAGGCCAUGGUCCUGUCGGAAAAGGGUGGCUUGCCCACUUCAGGUUGGUGGAGAGUGCCUGCCUCAAGUGGAGGAGUUUAAGUAUCUAGGGGUCUUGUUCACGAGUGAGGGAAGGAUGGAACGGGAGAUUGACAGACGGAUCGGUGCAGCUUCUGCAGUAAUGCGGUCGAUGUAUCGGUUUGGUCGUGGUGAAGAAAGAGCUGAGCCGCAAGGCGAAGCUCUUGAUUUACCGGUCAAUCUACGUUCCUACUCUCACCUAUGGUCAUGAGCUUUGGGUCAUGACCGAAAGGACAAGAUCCCGGAUACAGGUGGCCGAAAUGAGCUUUCUCCGCAGGGUGGCUGGGUGAUCCCUUAGAGAUAGGGUGAGAAGCUUGGUCUCCCGGGAGGAGCUCAAAGUAGAGUCGCUGCUCCGCCACAUCGAGAGGGGUCAGCUGAGGUGGCUUGGGCACCUGUUUCUAAUGCCUCUGGAACGCCUUCCUGGGAAGGUGUUCCGGUCCCGUCCCACUGGGA